GAUGAACGCUAGCUACAGGCUUAACGCAUGCAAGUCGAGGGGUAACGAGAGGAAAGCUUGCUUUCCUUGUCGACGACCGGCGCACGGGUGAGUAACGCGUAUCCAACCUGCCCCCAACUAGGGAAUAACAUUGCGAAAGUAAGACUAAUACCCUAUAAUUUCCUCAGAUGACAUCUGACGAGGAAUAAAGAUUUAUCGGUUGUGGAUGGGGAUGCGUCUGAUUAGCUUGUUGGCGGGGUAACGGCCCACCAAGGCAACGAUCAGUAGGGGUUCUGAGAGGAAGGUCCCCCACAUCGGAACUUAGACACGGACCAAACUCCUACGGGAGGCAGCAGUGAGGAAUAUUGGUCAAUGGGCGGAAGCCUGAACCAGCCAAGUAGCGUGCAGGAUGACGGCCCUAUGGGUUGUAAACUGCUUUUAUACAGGAAUAAAGUUAGCCACGUGUGGUUAUUUGUAGGUACUGUAUGAAUAAGGACCGGCUAAUUCCGUGCCAGCCGCCGCAGUAA
RNAcentral lists this ribosomal RNA (506 nucleotides) under uncultured bacterium. RNAcentral describes it as "partial 16S ribosomal RNA". It matches the Rfam family "Bacterial small subunit ribosomal RNA", at positions 28 to 523 of the family's 1533-position model. The record is from RNAcentral.